UUCUCCUUUAUAUCUUUUUUGUUUGCCCAAUAUUUGGGUCUAUCUCCUCCUCUAGAAAAUUCUUCAAAGUUAUUUUCUUUUUCAUUUUUCUGAGAUCGAAUAUUGAGUUUAGAUCGGAAUGCACUUUCUAUAGGACUUUCAUUCCGACUACUCAAUCUUUUCUCAUAAGCUUCUAAAGAGCCUAUCAAUUCUGUCACCGAAAGAUUCGAUAUGUCUUUCAAAUGUUCGAUGGAAGUUACUAUUGGGUCAUAUUUUUCAGUGAGGCUAAUGAGUAUUUUUUUUCAACUACUCUAGUCUCACUAAUAUUUUCACCAUAGGCUCUUUAUUGAUUUACUAUUUUCUUUAACCAGGAAUAGUAAUCUUUAACGAUUUCAAAAUCUUUCAUUUUUAAAUUUUCUAAGUCUCUCCUCAUUGUUUGUAGUUUAACAGAACGUACCUUUGCCGUCCCUUGAAACUCCUCCUUUAGUCGAUCCCAAGCUUCUUUUGAUGUGGUAGCUCCCAUGAUUCUUGAAAAAUUUGUAUCGUCCACUGCUUGUUGAAUGGCAAAAAAAGCACUAGCAUCUCUUAGUUUUUCUUUCUUCUCUUGCCACAAUUGCUCCACCGUCGGAUUUUCUGGAGUCGAGAAUCAUUUCUCUACUAUGUCCCAUAGAUCUUGAGACAUGAAGAAGGUUCUCAUCUUGAUACUCCAAAACUCAUAGUGUUCUCCCUUGAAGAUGGGAAGAGGAAUAGAUGUUUGGUUGGAGGUGGAGGAAGACAUGGUGGAAGACACAAAUCAACGCCCCAAAUUUGAUCGAAGCAAGCUCUGAUCCUACUGUUAGAAUUUGUGGCUUUGAUACCACUGUUGUAAUUUGGGGCGGAAGUUUUAGUAGUAGUGGGCUAGGACAAUGUGUUUAGGACUUUAGUUUUGGGAGCAAGGGUUUGGGAGAAGGAGUUAAAAUUGAGGAGGUUGUUUUAAUUAAACAUAUAUUAAGCGUGGAUGCACUCUUACACUGUUCUAAGUACAGUAAACAAUCGAUAUUGACCUCACGUUUGUGGGAUAUUAUGAGGCUGCCAUUCGUGAGGGUUGAAAUGUCGUUUUUGGCCUUUGGUUUUUUCUGAUAAGAUGAUCAUUGUCAGCUUUGCAAUUGACGGAGUUGCAUCAAGAUUGGAAAAAAAGGGCUUGGUUGCGCGUUUCUGGACACAGGAAGAUUUUGCUGAAAAUAGAUGGGUCGGAAAGUAACUAAGUUUUGUAAGGUUUAAUUGGUUUCAAAAGGCUUUGGAAAUCUGGUAUUUUUCAUAAAAGUGUUGUUCACUUUUUGCAAAUUUCAUGCAAAGAAGUUUGUGUAUCAUUGGUUUGUCGCUGUUCCUUGGUCUGCUGUUCAGUAUUGUCUUCGUCUUUUAUUUGCAUUCAGAUUUGGGGAACAGUGUGCUGUCAGAUAGUUUAACUGUCUACAGUCCAAGUAUCUAUUUGCUAUUGUGCUGUCAAAUUGAGUAGUUACAUAUAUUUAUACAUUCAGAGGUUCCAAAACUGUGCAUUGACAACAUUUAAAACGGUAUCCAUUUUGAAUUUUACCAGGUGAAUAUGGUGAGAUUGUUGUGCCAAUCCAUCCAAGCCAUCCAGCCAGCAAAAUUUAGCUAUGAUUAUGAAUGAAUUCUACCAAUAUUUUGCUGGAUGCCUUAGAUGGAACGGUUCUUGACAAUAGCAGAUAGAACCAUUUAUGAGUGAUCUGCUUACACGAACACCGGUCAAAGCAUACUCCACCAAACACUACAGUGCUUUGCAUGUUCUGGGCAUGCGGAGAGCGUUUAUCCUUACUACGUGCUUCACAGGUCAUAAUUUUGGACAUCCAUCUUAAUCCCUCUCUCACCUGGCAACCAAUUGACCAUGCAUUUACACCUGGUCAAAAGAGGAAACUAUUCAUAGCUGCUGAUUCCCCUGAAGAAGAACAUCAUGGUACCUGCUUCCAAAAAGUAUUUCAAUUGAACGAAUAUCGUGGUUAUCAGGAUUUUGAGGUCGAACAUGUGAACGUCCUGUACAGAAGGCAGGUCCUUCCAUGAUAAUAAGGCUCACGUAUAGAAUAGGGAAAGUUGUCACAAAAGCUUUUAAACUUGCCACCAUCAACUUUAGCACUGGCUAGAGCAACAAUUGCAGAAGCAGAAAUCCUUUCAAUACAACAAGAACGUUAUCUUCGAUCUACGUUUCUUCCAUUGAACAUACAUUUCAUGUAACAACUUUAAACGCAAUUCACCAAUGCCAGGCCCCCUCAGACUAAACUCAGCGUUUGUCUGAAUGUAAAUGUUCAAAGAACAUGAACUUGAAACCAGA
Long non-coding RNA from Rosa chinensis, 2305 nucleotides. RefSeq lists it as uncharacterized. The record is from RefSeq and is a predicted model, not a curated record. The transcript is spliced from 7 exons. NCBI's taxonomy places the organism in Eukaryota, Viridiplantae, Streptophyta, Magnoliopsida, Rosales, Rosaceae.